AGCUCGAAGCUUCUGACCCGAAGGGAGAGCGCCGACCCGGAAGAGAAAUCCGACCGGAAACCGCUUCUCCGGCCACCGACCGACGACGCCCGACCACCGAUGUCUUCCUCUCGUCAUCGCCGUCACGAUUUUGGCCUCAGAUCAUCCAUGCAACAGCGGUGAGCGGAGCAGCAACGACAGGAAGCCCCGAGCCUUCUCCGGCCAUCUCUGCAAUUUCCGGCCACCAUUCAAGGCGCAUUCGCUUUUCUUGGUUCAUUCUGGCUUCGCUGCUCCUGUUGACGAAGGCUGACCACGAUUUGGAACUGGGUUCGGGAACUCGCUGGGUUGUGGGCAUCGAAUCAGCAGUUUAUCAUCGACUUUGUCCUGGAGAACCGAGUUUGAGCACCCAGGCAACAGUUUUCGAAUCAAAGCUUUCAAAGGACUCCAGUUACCCGAGGAACGGAAGGUUCGCGACUCUCGGAGUACGUGAGAGAAAGCAUCAGAAUCCAGGUAGGGAUUCAGGACUCUCCUCGGUUGGUGAUUUUCUUUUAUAUUUUAUUAAUGUGAUGCAUGAUAAGUGGUAUGGGUUGGUUAUGUAAAAUGCAAUGCAUACUAACCAAUCUAUGAGAAAAUGUGUGAUGGCUUGAGAGCGAAGGGUGGCUCUGACUUCCUUGGGUUCGAUCCCCUUAACCUCCGGAGGGUUAGUUACGCCGGUCGUCCGGGUAUUCCGAUUGUAAUGACGGGCCCGGUACGUGUGUGUAGCUAGGUAGUGGACGCUCUCGCUACGCUUACCUGGUGAUAAAUUAAUUUGAGGUAAGGUCGUGUAGUGGGUCUAUGGGACCGGCCAUCAGGUAAUACUUGGUUUUGGCGCCGUAUUUAUUUAAGCAUCAUGCAUCGGUUUUCAAGUUGAAAAUCAUUAAAGUUUGUCGUUCUUUUAAAUAUUUGGUUUAAAUAUGUUUUCAUACUGGGCAGCCCAAAUAUUUGUUUAUUGGUUUUAAAUCUAGUUGAGGUAGAGUUCCUGUAGAGCAGCGAGGACGAA
Long non-coding RNA from Rosa rugosa (rugosa rose), 1018 nucleotides. RefSeq lists it as uncharacterized. The transcript has 3 exons. NCBI's taxonomy places the organism in Eukaryota, Viridiplantae, Streptophyta, Magnoliopsida, Rosales, Rosaceae. The record is from RefSeq and is a predicted model, not a curated record.